GAUCCUGGCUCAGGAUGAACGCUAGCGGCAGGCUUAACACAUGCAAGUCGAGGGGCAGCGCGGGGCGGCAACGUCCUGGCGGCGACCGGCGGAAGGGUGCGUAACGCGUGAGCGACAUGCCCGUUGCCCGGGGACAACCGGUGGAAACGCCGACUAAUCCCCGAUGGGGCGGAGGCCCUCAUGGGUCUCUGUUGAAAGUUACGGCGGCGACGGGUUGGCUCGCGUCCGAUUAGCUAGUUGGCGGGGUAACGGCCCACCAAGG
RNAcentral lists this ribosomal RNA (262 nucleotides) under uncultured bacterium. Its description in RNAcentral is "partial 16S ribosomal RNA". It matches the Rfam family "Bacterial small subunit ribosomal RNA", at positions 15 to 273 of the family's 1533-position model. The record is from RNAcentral.